UCUCUGGAGGAUUAGUGGUUAGGCCUCAGCGAUCUCACCGCCACAGCCCUGGUUCGAUUCCCAGCUAGGGAA
Molecule: non-coding RNA, 72 nt
Organism: Pangasianodon gigas (Mekong giant catfish)
Lineage: Eukaryota; Metazoa; Chordata; Actinopteri; Siluriformes; Pangasiidae
Source: the annotation of a GenBank genome assembly